This 1138-nucleotide long non-coding RNA is filed under the name Equus caballus (horse). RNAcentral describes it as "lncRNA (ENSECAG00000031380.3)". The record is from RNAcentral. Lineage: Eukaryota; Metazoa; Chordata; Mammalia; Perissodactyla; Equidae.
GGAACUUCUAGUCUUACUUCUGACCUCCAAUCCCUGGGAGAGGGGCUGGAGAUUGAGUUCAAUCACUAAUGGCUGAAGACUGAAUCAAUCACGUCUGUGUAAUGAAGCCACCACUAAACUGCAAAGGGAUAGGGUUUGGAGAACUUUCAGGAAAUAGAAAAAAAAAUUCUGGCUAAUUCCUCUAAUACUUCUGGACCCUCAUUGGCUAGGAAAUCAUGCUGUGUUCCCAUAUCUAUUUUCUGGUUCCGUGGAAGCUUCUUGAGUACAUGUCUAAUUUGGUUGGGUUCCCCCACUCUCGUACAGCUUCUCAUACAGAUGUCUUGUUUAUAAUAUUUCAAGCAGCUUCGGGUCCAAUGAGCUAUUGCAACACUAUGGCAUUGACAAUAACUAAAAGUUUUCUCACCUUGGAAUGGCAGAAGGAGAAAAACAAGCUUUUGCAGGUGAAGGAAAACAGGAAGAAUUCAUUGCUAGCAGACCUGCACCGUACUGCAAGAAAAUUAAGAAAGUGCUUCAGGCAGAGGAGUAAGAUCAACUUAUAUUAACAUGAUAAUAUGAUAGACAGAAACUUCAUCUACACAAGCAAUGGAGAGCACUGGAAAUGGCAAAAGUCAAAGGUCUCUACUCAUGACCUUCACCUGGAGCAUGACUGGGAAAAUACAGAAAAAGGGAUGGAGUGCCAUUCUUAAGUAGCUUACCUUGAAGACUUAGUGCCGCUUGCAUAGCUGGCAGCAAUACGAAGUCGCCUAUAUCACUCAAAGGAAUAAUGGACCCUAUUAAAAGCUGCUGCAAACACUGUGAUUGAAUUGCUCUGUUUAUCAGUCUAAGAUGCACAACUGCAUACUUUGGCCCUACUAAAAGUUAGUGUUCCAUUGUUUUUAAAUUCUUAAUGUUCUUGGAUGAAAAACCAAGUGUUGAGGUUUCGGAGAGAUCACUAAUCAAUUCCAACCUUCUUUCUUGUGAAUUAUGAUCAUAUUUAAUACAAGUCAAAUAACUCCACAUACAACAAAGUACACUCAUUCUCAUUAAGUGUUAGUCUUCACUCCAUUUCCUAACAGAGAAACAAUAGACACUAAACAAAGAAACAUGACAUUAAAACAAGAACUGAAAAUUAAGAGGUAAUGCGUGACUAAAUUUCCUG